UCUGGCAUGGCUCAGUUGGUAGAGCAUGAGACUCUUAAUCUCAGGCUCGUGAGUUCGAGCCCCACAUUGGCCGAAA
RNAcentral lists this transfer RNA (76 nucleotides) under Podarcis lilfordi (Lilford's wall lizard). RNAcentral describes it as "tRNA.Lys". It matches the Rfam family "tRNA". Rfam says of the family: Transfer RNA (tRNA) molecules are approximately 80 nucleotides in length. The record is from RNAcentral. Lineage: Eukaryota; Metazoa; Chordata; Lepidosauria; Squamata; Lacertidae.